Molecule: long non-coding RNA, 372 nt
Organism: Perca fluviatilis (European perch)
Lineage: Eukaryota; Metazoa; Chordata; Actinopteri; Perciformes; Percidae
Exons: 2
Source: RefSeq, a predicted model, not a curated record
CUUCAAACCACAGGUGUAGUUCCCAGAAUCCUUUGCAGUCAGAUUGCUGAGAUGGAGGACGGGGCCAGACUCUGAGAGGGCGUGGCCAUCUCUGAACCAGCUGACCUCCAGUUGGUGGAUAGUGCAGCUUGCAGCAGAACAACGGAGUGGUAAGCAGACAGAAUUCAUGGUUGUUGCACCAAACGUCUCUGAUGACCUCGAUCAAACAUUCUCCUGCAUCAUCAACGACAGACUUCAGUGUGUUGAAGGAGCAGGGGAGGGUGACGGUCGAUCCUACCACACCACAAACAGGACCUGGAUAGUUCACACUUAGACCCAGAGCAUCUAGUACAACAACAAAGUGAGAUUAGGAAUAAAGGAACUUGAUUUAGA